This 312-nucleotide ribosomal RNA is filed under the name uncultured eukaryote. RNAcentral's name for it is "partial 18S ribosomal RNA". It matches the Rfam family "Eukaryotic small subunit ribosomal RNA", at positions 1470 to 1796 of the family's 1831-position model. The record is from RNAcentral.
CCCUUAGAUGUUCUGGGCUGCACGCGCGCUACACUGACACACUCAGCGAGUCUCCUGGCCCGAGAGGGUUGGGUAAUCAUGUGAGCGUGUGUCGUGAUGGGGAUAGAAUAUUGUAAUUAUUGCUCUUCAACGAGGAAUUCCUAGUAAGCGCGAGUCAGCAGCUCGCGCUGAUUACGUCCCUGCCCUUUGUACACACCGCCCGUCGCUCCUACCGAUUGAAUGGUCCGGUGAAGCCUCCGGAUUGGCGCGCACCUCGGUGCCGCCGAGAAGUUGGCUAAACCUUACCAUUUAGAGGAAGGUGAAGUCGUANCA